CCUACGGGAGGCAGCAGUGGGGAAUCUUGCGCAAUGGGCGAAAGCCUGACGCAGCGACGCCUCGUGGGGGAUGAAGGCUCUCGGGUUGUAAACCCCUUUCGGCAGGAACGAAAUUGACGGUACCUGAAGAAGAAGCACCGGCCAACUACGUGCCAGCAGCCGCGGUAAUACGUAGGGUGCAAGCGUUGUCCGGAUUUAUUGGGCGUAAAGAGCUCGUAGGCGGCUUCGUAAGUCGGGUGUGAAACCUCCAGGCUUAACCUGGAGACGCCACCCGAUACUGCGAUAGCUAGAGUCUGGUAGGGGAUCACGGAAUUCCUGGUGUAGCGGUGAAAUGCGCAGAUAUCAGGAGGAACACCGAUGGCGAAGGCAGUGAUCUGGGCCAGUACUGACGCUGAGGAGCGAAAGCGUGGGGAGCAAACAGGAUUAGAUACCCUGGUAGUCCACGCCGUAAACGUUGGGCACUAGGUGUGGGUCCUUAUCAACGGGAUCCGUGCCGCAGCUAACGCAAUAAGUGCCCCGCCUGGGGAGUACGGUCGCAAGCUAAAACUUAAAUGAAUUGACGG
RNAcentral lists this ribosomal RNA (563 nucleotides) under uncultured bacterium. RNAcentral's name for it is "bacterial SSU rRNA". It matches the Rfam family "Bacterial small subunit ribosomal RNA", at positions 338 to 916 of the family's 1533-position model. The record is from RNAcentral.